UAAUAUGUUGUGUCCGUCGGUGCCGAUCGCGAGAUCGGCUUAAUAGGGAAGCCGGUGCGGACCCGUCCUUCUGGACGGCGACAAAGCCGGCGCUGCCCCGCAGCGGUAUGGGAAACGAACGUGGUCAUUGCACUGGGCGCCCGGCGCCUGGGAAGCGGCCACCAGUAGGAGGAGCCGAGGAGCGAGUAGAGAGGAGUGAGACGCGGGCCGAGGCCUGCCGACCACCGCUCUUAACUCGCCCCUCGCUCCAAGUCCCGAGCCCGAAGACCUGCCGACAGCCGCGCGUCGCA
This 290-nucleotide non-coding RNA is filed under the name Lysobacter sp. Lineage: Bacteria; Pseudomonadati; Pseudomonadota; Gammaproteobacteria; Lysobacterales; Lysobacteraceae. RNAcentral also lists the same sequence under 1 other name. The record is from RNAcentral.